GGGCCCGCACAAGCGGUGGAGCAUGUGGUUUAAUUCGAAGCAACGCGAAGAACCUUACCAGGCCUUGACAUCCCCUGACCGUCAUGGAAACAUGGCUUCUCUUCGGAGCAGGGAGACAGGUGGUGCAUGGUCGUCGUCAGCUCGUGUCGUGAGAUGUUGGGUUAAGUCCCGCAACGAGCGCAACCCUUGCCUUUAGUUGCCAUCAUUAAGUUGGGCACUCUAGAGGGACUGCCGGUGACAAACCGGAGGAAGGUGGGGAUGACGUCAGAUCAUCAUGCCCCUUAUGGUCUGGGCUACACACGUGCUACAAUGGUCUGUACAGAGGGCAGCGAAACCGUGAGGUGGAGCGAAUCCCAGAAAGCAGAUCUCAGUUCGGAUUGCAGGCUGCAACUCGCCUGCAUGAAGUCGGAAUCGCUAGUAAUCGCAGGUCAGCAUACUGCGGUGAAUACGUUCCCGGGCCUU
This 462-nucleotide ribosomal RNA is filed under the name uncultured bacterium. RNAcentral's name for it is "bacterial SSU rRNA". It matches the Rfam family "Bacterial small subunit ribosomal RNA", at positions 917 to 1382 of the family's 1533-position model. The record is from RNAcentral.